This 468-nucleotide ribosomal RNA is filed under the name uncultured bacterium. RNAcentral describes it as "partial 16S ribosomal RNA". It matches the Rfam family "Bacterial small subunit ribosomal RNA", at positions 28 to 507 of the family's 1533-position model. The record is from RNAcentral.
GACGAACGCUGGCGGCGUGCUUAACACAUGCAAGUCGAACGGAAAGGCCCUGCUUUUGUGGGGUGCUCGAGUGGCGAACGGGUGAGUAACACGUGAGUAACCUGCCCUUGACUUUGGGAUAACUUCAGGAAACUGGGGCUAAUACCGGAUAGGAGCUCCUGCUGCAUGGUGGGGGUUGGAAAGUUUCGGCGGUUGGGGAUGGACUCGCGGCUUAUCAGCUUGUUGGUGGGGUAGUGGCUUACCAAGGCUUUGACGGGUAGCCGGCCUGAGAGGGUGACCGGCCACAAUGGGACUGAGAUACGGCCCAGACUCGUACGGGAGGCAGCAGUGGGGAGUAUUGCACAGUGGGCGGAAGCCUGAUGCAGCAACGCCGCGUGCGGGAUGACGGCCUUCGGGUUGUAAACCGCUUUCGCCUGUGACGAAGCGUAAGUGACGGUAAUGGGUAAAGAAGCACCGGCUAACUACGUG